This 359-nucleotide long non-coding RNA is filed under the name Ananas comosus (pineapple). RNAcentral's name for it is "long non-coding RNA (ACOM_LNC026953)". The record is from RNAcentral. Lineage: Eukaryota; Viridiplantae; Streptophyta; Magnoliopsida; Poales; Bromeliaceae.
GCCUAACACAUCGACACUUGAAUCAUUCCCCAUGUAUACUCUUCUGCUCCCAGCAGGCACACGACGGUACUCGACGAAUCCCCUCCGAUCCCUCGCUACGUGGUCUGUUGCUCCUGAGUCUUCUUCGGCUCAGUGCAAUCACGAGCGAAGUGUCCCAGCUGAUUACAGUUGAAACAAGUCAUCUUUGACUUGUCUUUCUUGCCACCUCGUUUGCUUCUCUUUCUUUUAGUGUUCUUCGCAUUCUUAGGCGCGGAUCCGCUACGAUUUUGAGCCCCAGUAGUCCUCUUUCGCUUGAACCCAGAUGUCCUGCGAAAGUUUGACUCAGCAACAUUGGCAGUUGGAGUUUUAACAGCCUCAAG